RNAcentral lists this long non-coding RNA (319 nucleotides) under Ricinus communis (castor bean). Its description in RNAcentral is "long non-coding RNA (RCOM_LNC003216)". The record is from RNAcentral. Lineage: Eukaryota; Viridiplantae; Streptophyta; Magnoliopsida; Malpighiales; Euphorbiaceae.
ACGUGCAUUGCUUAUAUUGAUUUUUCGGUUUGCUUGUUCUGAUCCUGUGCCACAGCCAAGGAAUCAACCUUCCAGAGAGCCCAUUUGCAUCUCCAAUAAGGAGUGGCAUUUCAACUGUUAUGUAGAGAGAGAGAAAAAAGAAAAUAUAAUACAGAGAUGUUACAUAGAGGUAGACUGCAGUCAAAGAUCGUUGAUACAACAGAGAAUUUCUUUUUCGUUUUUAAAUUUACCUGGUCGAUCAGCUUCGUAGCCACUCAUUACCAAACUGAAGGAGGAAAAGUACUUCUCCAUUUUUUCUUCAUGAUGGAGAAGAUUGGAA